RNAcentral lists this ribosomal RNA (433 nucleotides) under uncultured bacterium. RNAcentral describes it as "partial 16S ribosomal RNA". It matches the Rfam family "Bacterial small subunit ribosomal RNA", at positions 29 to 507 of the family's 1533-position model. The record is from RNAcentral.
AACGAACGCUGGCGGCAUGCCUAACACAUGCAAGUCGAACGAGACCUUCGGGUCUAGUGGCGCACGGGUGCGUAACGCGUGGGAACCUGCCCUUAGGUUCGGAAUAACUCCCCGAAAGGGGUGCUAAUACCGGAUAAUGUCUUCGGACCAAAGAUUUAUCGCCUUUGGAUGGGCCCGCGUUGGAUUAGCUAGUUGGUAGGGUAAAAGCCUACCAAGGCGACGAUCCAUAGCUGGUCUGAGAGGAUGAUCAGCCACACUGGGACUGAGACACGGGCCAGACUCCUACGGGAAGCAGCAGUGGGGAAUAUUGGACAAUGGGCGAAAGCCUGAUCCAGCAAUGCCGCGUGAGUGAUGAAGGCCUUAGGGUUGUAAAGCUCUUUUACCCGGGAUGAUAAUGACAGUACCGGGAGAAUAAGCUCCGGCUAACUCCGUG